CCCUUAGAUGUUCUGGGCCGCACGCGCGCUACACUGAUGCAUUCAACAAGCCUAGCCUUGACCGAGAGGUCCGGGUAAUCUUUGAAACUGCAUCGUGAUGGGGCUAGAUUAUUGCAAUUAUUAAUCUUCAACGAGGAAUGCCUAGUAAGCGUGAUUCAUCAAAUCGCGUUGAUUACGUCCCUGCCCUUUGUACACACCGCCCGUCGCCCCUACCGAUUGAAUGUGUUGGUGAGGAGCUCGGAUUGGCAGCAGUUGGUGGUUCGCCACCGGCUAUUGCUGAGAAGUCCUCCAAACCGCCCCAUUUAGAGGAAGGAGAANUCGUAACA
RNAcentral lists this ribosomal RNA (326 nucleotides) under uncultured eukaryote. RNAcentral's name for it is "partial 18S ribosomal RNA". It matches the Rfam family "Eukaryotic small subunit ribosomal RNA", at positions 1470 to 1796 of the family's 1831-position model. The record is from RNAcentral.